Molecule: long non-coding RNA, 1402 nt
Filed under: Phoenix dactylifera (date palm)
Lineage: Eukaryota; Viridiplantae; Streptophyta; Magnoliopsida; Arecales; Arecaceae
Description: long non-coding RNA (PDAC_LNC010283)
Source: RNAcentral
AAAACCCAUCUUCAGUAGGUAUGAAAUGUCUACCCUAAAAUAAGGUGGCUGGACACUGCAUCUUCCUUAAGCAUGGAUUAUCUUUAUACUUACUCAGUGAUCAUGAAAAAUAGUUGUACGAACAUCAUAUUUAAAGUCACAGAGAUUAAAUAUGAGAUGAAAGAAAAAUAUUAAUUUAAGAGUAAGAGGAUUUAUACAACUCCAAGAAUAUAAAAUUAAAUACAUAAAAUCCGUGUCCCUUUAUUAGGGCUGCAUCCAGCCCUGAAGAGGAGAUCAGCCUUCCAUGAAGAGUUGAACAGUGGCAGCGCAGAGGACUCCCAUCACGGCUAGAACUUCUUCCUUUCUUCCUCCGGCUCUACUGAAAACAGCUCCCUCUCAGCACUUCCUUAUUUCUUUUAUAUGAGAAAUUAUUCCCCAAAUGCCCAAACUUCUCUCCCUCUUAUUUCUAUGGGAUUCGGCCUCCUGAGAAGAGAUGAUUGAGAUCAGCCGGCUUCCUCCUCCCGAAUGCCCUCGUCUUCACUUCCUAACUCCUUUAUAUAGACUGCCCUCCUCCCUCUCUCCCUCUGAAUGUGGUUGUUCCGAAUGAGAGGAUAAAGACGUGAGUGAUCCGACUGAGAUGCGGCUGGGAGGAUAUCUUGCUGGAUUGCGGAAGAUGGAUGGAGUUCAUCCGGAAUGACGCGGGAAACAGGGGAUUCGGAAGAAGAUUGAUGCUGUGAACAGAUGCCUGGGACCUAUCCCAUGUAUGCUGGAUGCUUAUCACGAACAGGAUGAACUGCAAGAUCUUGGAGAAGGUUGGGAGGAAAGCUGCAAUCAUGGGAGGAUGCGGAGUAGAUCUCGGCUGGAUGGUUGAGAGGUAAUCCGGAAGCAGAGGAGAUGAAGAUGAAUCGUGGGGUUGCUAGGAUUUUGUGGAAUGACUGGAAUGUGAACGGGAUGAAGCUGGGAGAUUCGGAGAAGUGGAUGAGGCUGAAUCGCGGAAAAGGGAGUCAUGAAGUUGAGAGUAUCUCGGCUGAGAGGAGAUGCUCAGGAUGCUGAGAUUAUUGGAGUUAGGAAGGUGUUUGGAUGGAUUCGGAAGAGGAAAUCUGGGAGGCAGUUGUUUGGAUGUUCAUCCGAUUGGGAACAGGGGAUGCUGGAAUUUGGGUUCAUCCCGUGAAGAUGGAUGCUCUGUUCCUUGAAGCUUGGAUGGAAUACUUGAUUCGAACGGGAUUGGUUUCGGAUGUUUGGGAGCUCUCUAGAACGAAUCCGGGUGAAGAGGAUUCAGCUCUAUCUCGGGAGGAUAAACUUGGAACGGGAAGAGGACGCGGAGAAAUGGGAUGCUGAUCUUUGGAGCUCGGAUGGCAGGGGAAAACGUGUGGAUUUGGUUGGGAGGAAGUUAUUCAGCUGGGAACAGGCCAACGGCUCUGUU